RNAcentral lists this ribosomal RNA (274 nucleotides) under uncultured bacterium. Its description in RNAcentral is "partial 16S ribosomal RNA". It matches the Rfam family "Bacterial small subunit ribosomal RNA", at positions 79 to 354 of the family's 1533-position model. The record is from RNAcentral.
CUAAGUUUGAUGGCGACCGGCGCACGGGUGAGUAACACGUAUCCAACCUGCCGAUGACUCGGGGAUAGCCUUUCGAAAGAAAGAUUAAUACCCGAUGGCAUAGUUCUUCCGCAUGGUAGAACUAUUAAAGAAUUUCGGUCAUCGAUGGGGAUGCGUUCCAUUAGCUUGUUGGCGGGGUAACGGCCCACCAAGGUAUCGAUGGAUAGGGGUUCUGAGAGGAAGGUCCCCCACAUUGGAACUGAGACACGGUCCAAACUCCUACGGGAGGCAGCAG